Apis florea (little honeybee) is the source of this 513-nucleotide long non-coding RNA. The record is from RefSeq and is a predicted model, not a curated record. NCBI's taxonomy places the organism in Eukaryota, Metazoa, Arthropoda, Insecta, Hymenoptera, Apidae.
AAAUGCAUCUUUUAUGUUUUAGAAAUCAACAAUUAAAUAUUAUAUGAUACUUUAAUUUUCGCGCGGUUUUGUAAAUAGGAACCUAGCCGCUAUAGCCAAUUAGAAAAGCCCCUAGGCGAACUAUGACGCGUCAUUUUUCAGUGGGAAAUUAUCGUGAUUGUUACGUGCCGCUUGAGUUGUUCUCGAUUACACAAUUAUUGUUCAAUUAUGACUUCGAAGAAAAUUUUACUGUGAAGAAAAAAUGCAUACGUCACUUAUAAUGUACUCAAGAAUUUACUCAUAAUUUUUCUGCAAAUACGGUUAUCAAAUGACAAGUGGAAUGAGUUUUAAGAAAAUAUAUAUUUCAAUAUGGACACCUUAUUAAUUAAUGAACAAUUGUUUCAGAAAAUAUUUGAGACCGAGCGCAAUGCGGUCGAUAGAAUCAGUGUUUAUUUCGUAAAAGUUUUUAUAUUUUUUUGAAGUUCUAUUUAAAUUAUAAUAGUUUCGCUAUCAGUGUUUAAAAUUAGUUAAAAU